This 305-nucleotide ribosomal RNA is filed under the name uncultured bacterium. RNAcentral describes it as "bacterial SSU rRNA". It matches the Rfam family "Bacterial small subunit ribosomal RNA", at positions 336 to 639 of the family's 1533-position model. The record is from RNAcentral.
UUCCUACGGGAGGCAGCAGUGAGGAAUAUUGGUCAAUGGACGAGAGUCUGAACCAGCCAAGUAGCGUGAAGGAUGACUGCCCUAUGGGUUGUAAACUUCUUUUAUAUGGGAAUAAAGUUUUCCACGUGUGGAAUUUUGUAUGUACCAUAUGAAUAAGGAUCGGCUAACUCCGUGCCAGCAGCCGCGGUAAUACGGAGGAUGCGAGCGUUAUCCGGAUUUAUUGGGUUUAAAGGGUGCGCAGGCGGACCAUCAAGUCAGCGGUAAAAUCGUGGGGCCCAACCCCAUCCCGCUGUUGAAACUGGCGG